CUAUUGGUUGAUCAGCACCGAUCGCACAUUCGCACCCACCAGUCGAGUAAACAAAGUCAUGAUGGUGGGAUCAAAAAGGCUAGAAUACAGAGCCGUAAAGUCAGUUUAAAAAAAAAAGUCUUGACGUCUUGGUGACGUCAAUUAUCAAUGUCAUAUUUUCAUUUGUUAUGUUUGUUAUUUUGGGAUAGUUUUUAGAAUACCUAUUUUUAAUUGAUGAGUGCGGUGAUUUUUAUUGCGAUUGUGAUUUAUAUAGAUAUCUGAUACAAAGAUAAUAUGUGUGUUUGUAUAUAGUUUUAAUACUUCUAGUAUUAAAAUUAUUUGCAGUGUACCUUUUCGUGUUUUAUUUGUUGAUUUAUAGGUUAUGAAGACGCGUACGAUUUUGUUGUUGUUUAUUUAUGUCUAAGUUAUUGUUUAAUUGAUGGUUGUACAUACUGUUGUAAGCCUUUUAUUACGUGUAUUCUUAAUAAAGAUUUAAGCAAAAAAUGAGUGUUUCAUUAUGAUUCUGCAGUGUCAACAUGGGUGCAAGCCAAGCUUGAGAAGCAAACUUUAUUCCGACAAGAAAAGGCAGUACUUUAUUGGUGCACGAUGGAUAUGCAUUCCGUUUAAAAAAUAAACUGGCGUAUGGUAAGAAGCAAUGGUACUGUACCUCACGGACCAAGACCGGAUGCCAUGCUGACGUAACAACAGUAUUCCAUCAACUCCGUACCCUCGUGAAUAGGGUAAGAAACAAGCAUAAUCAUCCUCCACCAGGUUUUUAUCGACGCAAUGAUGGAUCAUUUAGAAUUGUGUAAUUUUAAUUUUAAAACAGAUUUUAUUUAAUGUUACAUCUUUCUUAAUGUAACUGAAUGAGGCUAGCACCGAUAUUUGUAUUAUUUAACUCUAGAAUUUAUGGACUAUGUGUUUGAAAUAAGAAGACCAUCAGCAAUGUAACCACAAAUUCUGAAUUUUCGGUUUUUUUUUUUAUCUGUACUGUAAAACCUACCUACCUGUUAAAAAUAAUUCUAGGCAGACAGACAGAUGGACAGACAUACAGACGACAGUGAUCCAUCUUAUAAGGGUUUCUUUUUCCUUUUGAGGUACCAAAAAUUUGAAUAAUAGUGGUACAAGUUUGAUACAAGAUUGAAGCUAGGGAAUAACAUUGGUGACGGUAUUCUUAUUUGAACAUUGAAUUUGUAUAAAAGACUGAAGAGUAUAGAUCAAUUUCCUACCUCUUAAAAUAAGAUUGCUUAUAAAUUUUAUGAUAUUAUGCUAGAAAAAUAACAAUAUGCUCAAUUUUUUAUGUAUUACCUAUAAGUUUUUAGUUUUAGCUAUACUGUUCUGAAAUUGAGACUGAUAAGGUUUAAGUAGAUUAAGUGAAUUAUUUAUUCAUCAAAUUAAAAUGAUGAAUGAUUAUAUUAAUUCCCUGUGUAUUUAGAAAUAUUUUAAUAUUUAAUCCCCUGUGUACCUAUUCCUAAUACUAAAUGACUAUUUUUUGACAUUUAUCCAGGACUAUUAUCAAAAACCAUACAUACUCAUACCAUAACUUUAGAAUUUUUAUACACAUCGACAUUGGUGAAGCAUUGUAAAAAUAAAAUUAAGCCUAGGAUGAACCAUUUAAUUCUCGCUUAGAAAGAACUGAUUUGUGUGACUUAUGUAUAUAAUAUAAGACUGAUUUUUAAUUUUCUACCUCAUUGUACCUCAGAUUUUGAUACAUUUUUUUACUCUGUGUAAUUAAGCUAGGUUAGUUUGUCUGUUGAAGUUAACAUUAUUUUUUAAUGAUUUUUGGAAUUAGUUUAUUAGCAAUUAAAAUAAAUAAAUAAUUGUAUUUUUUGUUGUUUUAUUUCAAAUUUAAAAUUGAAAAAUAGGUAGGUAUGUUCACUUCAUCUUAAGUUCAUCCAUCAAAUUAUAAUUUCUUUGGAUUCACCCAAGCAAUUUAUGCCACCACUAGCUGGCCCCCGAUCUGGUAACA
Maniola jurtina (meadow brown) is the source of this 1948-nucleotide long non-coding RNA. RefSeq lists it as uncharacterized. NCBI's taxonomy places the organism in Eukaryota, Metazoa, Arthropoda, Insecta, Lepidoptera, Nymphalidae. The record is from RefSeq and is a predicted model, not a curated record. The transcript has 2 exons.